GGAGUAAAUAGGCUUGUAGCAGUCAAGCACAGCUUGUUUGCAUUAGCAACCAUCAGCUGUGAGGUGAUGGCUUAAGGAAAUGGAUAGAUUGUUGUGUCGGGGCACUGGGACCUUCCAGGAGAAGCAUUUGUGAUUCUUCAUUGCAUGCACUCAAAGGCAACUGUCCAGGAAAGACUCCACAGUCUGCAGCAGCCCAGGGGAGCAAGGAUGUGUCACCAGCACAGCAGCUCUGACUCGGGUCCAUGGGGAGAGAAGUGAUGCACAUGCUCCCUGUAAUAGCUUCUCCAGCCUGCUCACUCCAAUAAUAGUCUCCGUGUGUGAAAUUUCACCUGACCUGAACUUUCCCGAGUUUAUCCAGCCUUCACCCUGACAGUUCAGAGCAGAACUGUUUUUAUGCCUCGCAACCCAGACACCAAAUUGGAGCUGAAGUGACGUUUAUUGUUUCAACAGUGUUAUUAUAUGAAGAUUGAGCUCAUUACAAACACGACCUGUUUUUGAGCCAGGACACAUAUUAAUUUGGAUAAAAUACCAGCUGUGUCCUCUCUCCAUAUGGCCUUAUCAGGAAAACAAACUGGGUUAAGUUUCAUUCCAAAGAAUGAAAAUGUAAUUGAAUACUUGCUUCGUUUGAGGAAACUCAAAUAAUCAUUAUCGUCACGUCUCUGCUAAUCGCAGCAGAGAGGGGGCAGAGGUGUUUAUUUCUGUGCAUAUCUAAAAAUAAACCAAGGCACAAUUCCUGUGGGGGGGGGGGAACAGAGGGCAGC
Long non-coding RNA from Phasianus colchicus (ring-necked pheasant), 761 nucleotides. RefSeq lists it as uncharacterized. The record is from RefSeq and is a predicted model, not a curated record. NCBI's taxonomy places the organism in Eukaryota, Metazoa, Chordata, Aves, Galliformes, Phasianidae.